GGAUGUGAGAGUAACCUGGUUUUGAUGCCACCAGGCUGAUCACCAGGGUCAAUUAGCUUGUAGCUCCUCUCUCCCCACUGCUCCAUGACCUUGAUUCCCAAAGUUUCAGGUAGUGGAAGAGGAUGCUGUUCCCCAAAGAAAGACAAAGUAAUCUUCAGUGGAGGGUAUGCAGUUAACUGCUCUCCCUUGCUAGAGCACACAAACAAGCCCUCAGACUCCAAAUGUGCAACUGGAAUGGGUCUUGCUUUCUGAAAUUCAGUAGAACUCAGUGGAAGUGCACACACU
Molecule: small nuclear RNA, 285 nt
Filed under: Erinaceus europaeus (western European hedgehog)
Lineage: Eukaryota; Metazoa; Chordata; Mammalia; Eulipotyphla; Erinaceidae
Description: 7SK RNA (ENSEEUG00000023846.1)
Rfam family: 7SK RNA
About the family: 7SK was discovered as an abundant small nuclear RNA in the mid-70s but a possible function has only recently been suggested.
Source: Rfam by way of RNAcentral